This 788-nucleotide ribosomal RNA is filed under the name Cosmospora khandalensis. Its description in RNAcentral is "eukaryotic LSU rRNA". It matches the Rfam family "Eukaryotic large subunit ribosomal RNA", at positions 98 to 918 of the family's 3401-position model. The record is from RNAcentral. Lineage: Eukaryota; Fungi; Ascomycota; Sordariomycetes; Hypocreales; Nectriaceae. RNAcentral also lists the same sequence under 1 other name.
GCGGCAACAGCUCAAAUUUGAAAUCUGGCCCUCGGGUCCGAGUUGUAAUUUGUAGAGGAUGCUUUUGGUGCGGUGCCUUCCGAGUUCCCUGGAACGGGACGCCAUAGAGGGUGAGAGCCCCGUCUGGUUGGACACCAAGCCUCUGUAAAGCUCCUUCGACGAGUCGAGUAGUUUGGGAAUGCUGCUCUAAAUGGGAGGUAUAUGUCUUCUAAAGCUAAAUACCGGCCAGAGACCGAUAGCGCACAAGUAGAGUGAUCGAAAGAUGAAAAGCACUUUGAAAAGAGGGUUAAAUAGUACGUGAAAUUGUUGAAAGGGAAGCGCUUAUGACCAGACUUGAGCCCGGUUAAUCAUCCAGCCUUCUGGCUGGUGCACUUGGCCGGCUCAGGCCAGCAUCAGUUCGGCGCGGGGGAUAAAGGUUUCGGGAAUGUGGCUCCUCCGGGAGUGUUAUAGCCCGUUGCGUAAUACCCUGCGCUGGACUGAGGUUCGCGCAUCUGCAAGGAUGCUGGCGUAAUGGUCAUCAGCGACCCGUCUUGAAACACGGACCAAGGAGUCGUCUUCGUAUGCGAGUGUUCGGGUGUCAAACCCCUACGCGUAAUGAAAGUGAACGCAGGUGAGAGCUUCGGCGCAUCAUCGACCGAUCCUGAUGUUCUCGGAUGGAUUUGAGUAAGAGCAUACGGGGCCGGACCCGAAAGAAGGUGAACUAUGCCUGUAUAGGGUGAAGCCAGAGGAAACUCUGGUGGAGGCUCGCAGCGGUUCUGACGUGCAAAUCGAUCGUCAAAUAUGGGCAU